GAAGCUUCUCGGUCUUUUGGCUGAGAUCAAGUACAGAAUCUGUUCUCAGCAGUUUAAUAUUUGACACAUCCUUUAUUUGAGGACUAUAUAUUAAAUGGAUUUUUGGAGUUCUCUAUAAGUUCUGCAAACAGUAUUCUUCUGUUACCUUACAACAUUUUUUCCUGUAAUAAAUGUUUGGUUAGAGUAGCA
Small nuclear RNA from Heteronotia binoei (common prickly gecko), 189 nucleotides. RefSeq annotates it as U2 spliceosomal RNA. The record is from RefSeq and is a predicted model, not a curated record. NCBI's taxonomy places the organism in Eukaryota, Metazoa, Chordata, Lepidosauria, Squamata, Gekkonidae. The transcript has a single exon.